UACGUAGGGUGCAAGCGUUGUCCGGAAUUAUUGGGCGUAAAGAGCUCGUAGGCGGUCUGUCGCGUCGGCUGUGAAAUCCCGAGGCUCAACCCCGGGCCUGCAGUGGAUACGGGCUGGCUAGAGGCAGGCAGGGGAGAACGGAAUUCCUGGUGUAGCGGUGAAAUGCGCAGAUAUCAGGAGGAACACCGGUGGCGAAGGCGGUUCUCUGGGCCUGUACUGACGCUGAGGAGCGAAAGCGUGGGGAGCAAACAGG
This 253-nucleotide ribosomal RNA is filed under the name uncultured bacterium. RNAcentral describes it as "partial 16S ribosomal RNA". It matches the Rfam family "Bacterial small subunit ribosomal RNA", at positions 524 to 776 of the family's 1533-position model. The record is from RNAcentral.